Molecule: ribosomal RNA, 481 nt
Filed under: uncultured bacterium
Lineage: Bacteria
Description: bacterial SSU rRNA
Rfam family: Bacterial small subunit ribosomal RNA
Source: RNAcentral
AGAGUUUGAUCCUGGCUCAGAGUGAACGCUGGCGGCGUGCUUAACACAUGCAAGUCGAACGAGAACGGGUAUUAGCUUGCUAAUACUGUCAGCUAAGUGGCGCACGAGUGAGUAAUAUAUAGGUAACGUGCCUUCAAGAAGGGGAUAACGUUUGGAAACGAACGCUAAUACCCUAUAUGCCUUUAAGUCUUAAGACUGCAAGGGAAAUAUUUAUAGCUUGAAGAUCGGCCUGUACGGUAUCAGCUUGUUGGUGAGGUAAUGGCUCACCAAGGCUAUGACAUCUAACUGGUUUGAGAGGAUGAUCAGUCACACUGGAACUGAGACACGGUCCAGACUCCUACGGGAGGCAGCAGUGGGGAAUAUUGCACAAUGGACGAAAGUCUGAUGCAGCAACGCCGCGUGGAGGAUGACACAUUUCGGUGCGUAAACUCCUUUUAUAUAGGAAGAUAAUGACGGUACUAUAUGAAUAAGCACCGCUAAC